RNAcentral lists this ribosomal RNA (497 nucleotides) under uncultured bacterium. RNAcentral describes it as "partial 16S ribosomal RNA". It matches the Rfam family "Bacterial small subunit ribosomal RNA", at positions 28 to 507 of the family's 1533-position model. The record is from RNAcentral.
GAUGAACGCUGGCGGCGUGCCUAAUACAUGCAAGUCGAGCGAACAGACGAGGAGCUUGCUCCUUUGACGUUAGCGGCGGACGGGUGAGUAACACGUAGGUAACCUACCUAUAAGACUGGGAUAACUUCGGGAAACCGGAGCUAAUACCGGAUAAUAUUUUGAACCGCAUGGUUCGAUAGUGAAAGACGGCUUUGCUAUCACUUAUAGAUGGACCUGCGCCGUAUUAGCUAGUUGGUAAGGUAACGGCUUACCAAGGCAACGAUUCGUAGCCGACCUGAGAGGGUGAUCGGCCACACUGGAACUGAGACACGGUCCAGACUCCUACGGGAGGCAGCAGUAGGGAAUCUUCCGCAAUGGGCGAAAGCCUGACGGAGCAACGCCGCGUGAGUGAUGAAGGUCUUCGGAUCGUAAAACUCUGUUAUUAGGGAAGAACAAACGUGUAAGUAACUGUGCACGUCUUGACGGUACCUAAUCAGAAAGCCACGGCUAACUACGUG